GGACAAAGGUGAUUCCUAGAUAUGGACCACAGCCCACCCGCUUGCAAGAAGAGCUUGCUGGAGGAAGGUACUCUGCAUGACACCAGAAGACAAAUAAUGCAGUGCCAACCGAGCCAGGAGAUGCUAUGGGCGGGUGCAUUGCUCCAGCAGGUGUAGAAAGAACUCUACUGCCAUCGUGCAGAAAUGGGUUCUGUACCAUAUAGCCCAUUGAAAUUCCUUUUCAUGAGACCUGGAGGUCGGGGAGAAAUAGAAAAGUCGAGAAUUAUUUAAGAAGCUCCAAGACGCGAAGGGCGGGUGCUUUGUCCAGCAGGUGUAGAAAGAACUCUACUGCCAUCGUGCGGAAAUGGGUUCUGUACCAUACAGCUCAUUGAAAUUCCUUUUCAUGAGACCUGGAGGUCAGGGAGAAAUAGAAAAGUCGAGAAUUAUUUAAGAAGCUCCAAGGUGGGUCUCCUAGAAUUCUCCAAAGACCCAGGCCAUAAGAACCUGGAAAUUGAUUCUAUUGUGGAGUACCACGACCUGAAGAAUGAUGAUAUCUAGGCAGAAAUUGUUCGUGUUAUGCUUGUAUUCAAAUGAGAUUUCUUUUUUUUUCAGACGCGAAGGGCGGGUGCUUUGCUCCAGCAGGUGUAGAAAGAACUCUACUGCCAUCGUGCGGAAAUGGGUUCUGUACCAUAUAGCUCAUUGAAAUUCCUUUUCAUGAGACCUGGAGGUCAGGGAGAAAUAGAAAAGUAGAUUAUUAUAAGAAGCUCCAAGGUGGGUGUCGUAGCAUUCUCCAAAGACCCAGGCCCUAAGAACCUGGAAAUUGAUUGUCUUGUGGAGUACCACGACCUGAAGAAUGACGAUAUCUAGGCAGAAAUUGUUCGUGACAUGCUUGUAUUCAAAUGAGAUUUCUUUUUUUUUCAGACGCGAAGGGCGGGUGCUUUGCUCCAGCAGGUGUAGAAAGAACUCUACUGCCAUCGUGCAGAAAUGGGUUCUGUACCAUAUAGCCCAUUGAAAUUCCUUUUCAUGAGACCUGGAGGUCGGGGAGAAAUAGAAAAGUCGAGAAUUAUUUAAGAAGCUCCAAGACGCGAAGGGCGGGUGCUUUGUCCAGCAGGUGUAGAAAGAACUCUACUGCCAUCGUGCGGAAAUGGGUUCUGUACCAUACAGCUCAUUGAAAUUCCUUUUCAUGAGACCUGGAGGUCAGGGAGAAAUAGAAAAGUCGAGAAUUAUUUAAGAAGCUCCAAGGUGGGUCUCCUAGAAUUCUCCAAAGACCCAGGCCAUAAGAACCUGGAAAUUGAUUCUAUUGUGGAGUACCACGACCUGAAGAAUGAUGAUAUCUAGGCAGAAAUUGUUCGUGUUAUGCUUGUAUUCAAAUGAGAUUUCUUUUUUUUUCAGACGCGAAGGGCGGGUGCUUUGCUCCAGCAGGUGUAGAAAGAACUCUACUGCCAUCGUGCGGAAAUGGGUUCUGUACCAUAUAGCUCAUUGAAAUUCCUUUUCAUGAGACCUGGAGGUCAGGGAGAAAUAGAAAAGUAGAUUAUUAUAAGAAGCUCCAAGGUGGGUGUCGUAGCAUUCUCCAAAGACCCAGGCCCUAAGAACCUGGAAAUUGAUUGUCUUGUGGAGUACCACGACCUGAAGAAUGACGAUAUCUAGGCAGAAAUUGUUCGUGACAUGCUUGUAUUCAAAUGAGAUUUCUUUUUUUUUCAGACGCGAAGGGCGGGUGCUUUGCUCCAGCAGGUGUAGAAAGAACUCUACUGCCAUCGUGCGGAAAUGGGUUCUGUACCAUGUAGCCCAUUGAAAUUCCUUUUCAUGAGACCUGGAGGUCGGAGAGAAAUAGAAAAGUCGA
Chionomys nivalis (European snow vole) is the source of this 1819-nucleotide long non-coding RNA. RefSeq lists it as uncharacterized. NCBI's taxonomy places the organism in Eukaryota, Metazoa, Chordata, Mammalia, Rodentia, Cricetidae. The record is from RefSeq and is a predicted model, not a curated record. The transcript has 5 exons.